Molecule: transfer RNA, 74 nt
Filed under: Mesorhizobium amorphae
Lineage: Bacteria; Pseudomonadati; Pseudomonadota; Alphaproteobacteria; Hyphomicrobiales; Phyllobacteriaceae
Description: tRNA-Gln
Rfam family: tRNA
About the family: Transfer RNA (tRNA) molecules are approximately 80 nucleotides in length.
Source: RNAcentral
CUGGGGAAUAGGGUAACGGCAGACCCACGGACUCUGACUCCGUUGAUCCUGGUUCGAAUCCAGGUUCCCCAGUC